Molecule: ribosomal RNA, 325 nt
Filed under: uncultured eukaryote
Lineage: Eukaryota
Description: partial 18S ribosomal RNA
Rfam family: Eukaryotic small subunit ribosomal RNA
Source: RNAcentral
CCCUUAGAUGUCCUGGGCCGCACGCGCGCUACACUGAUGCAUUCAACGAGUUUUACCUUGGCCGAGAGGCCUGGGCAAUCUUUUAAACCUGCAUCGUGAUAGGGAUAGAUUAUUGCAAUUAUUAAUCUUGAACGAGGAAUUCCCAGUAAACGCAAAUCAUCAAUUUGCAUUGAUUACGUCCCUGCCCUUUGUACACACCGCCCGUCGCACCUACCGAUUGAAUGGUCCGGUGAAGCCUCGGGAUUGUGGCCAGUUCACUUUAUUGGGAGUUGGCUGUGAGAACUUGUCUAAACCUUAUCAUUUAGAGGAAGGUGAAGUCGUAACA